This is a non-coding RNA of Caenorhabditis elegans, 21 nucleotides long. Lineage: Eukaryota; Metazoa; Nematoda; Chromadorea; Rhabditida; Rhabditidae. The record is from Ensembl.
UGAAGUUGUGUGCAGUUUGCA